UACGUAGGGUGCAAGCGUUGUCCGGAAUUAUUGGGCGUAAAGAGCUCGUAGGCGGUUUGUCGCGUCGAAUGUGAAAACCCGGGGCUCAACCCCGGGCCUGCAUUCGAUACGGGCAGGCUAGAGUUCGGUAGGGGAGAUCGGAAUUCCUGGUGUAGCGGUGAAAUGCGCAGAUAUCAGGAGGAACACCGGUGGCGAAGGCGGAUCUCUGGGCCGAUACUGACGCUGAGGAGCGAAAGCGUGGGGAGCGAACAGG
Molecule: ribosomal RNA, 253 nt
Filed under: uncultured bacterium
Lineage: Bacteria
Description: partial 16S ribosomal RNA
Rfam family: Bacterial small subunit ribosomal RNA
Source: RNAcentral